Molecule: ribosomal RNA, 235 nt
Filed under: uncultured bacterium
Lineage: Bacteria
Description: partial 16S ribosomal RNA
Rfam family: Bacterial small subunit ribosomal RNA
Source: RNAcentral
CGGACGGGUGAGUAACGCGUGGAUAACCUGCCUCACACAGGGGGAUAACAGUUAGAAAUGACUGCUAAUACCGCAUAAGCGCACAGUACCGCAUGGUACAGUGUGAAAAACUCCGGUGGUGUGAGAUGGAUCCGCGUCUGAUUAGGUAGUUGGUGGGGUAACGGCCUACCAAGGCGACGAUCAGUAGCCGACCUGAGAGGGUGACCGGCCACAUUGGGACUGAGACACGGCCCAA